This 407-nucleotide ribosomal RNA is filed under the name uncultured bacterium. RNAcentral describes it as "partial 16S ribosomal RNA". It matches the Rfam family "Bacterial small subunit ribosomal RNA", at positions 28 to 526 of the family's 1533-position model. The record is from RNAcentral.
GAUGAACGCUAGCGAUAGGCUUAACACAUGCAAGUCGAGGGUCCGGCGCACGGGUGCGUAACGCGUAUGCAUCUUGCCUCACAGAGGGGGAUAACCCGUCGAAAGACGGACUAAUACCGCGUACUGUGAGCUCGGCAUGCGUCCCAUUCGAUAGUUGGUGAGGUAACGGCUCACCAAGGCAACGAUGGGUAGGGGAAAGGAGAGGUUGAACCCCCGCACAGGUACUGAGACACGGACCAGACCGCUACGGGAGGCAGCAGUGAGGAAUAUUGGUCAAUGGGCGAGAGCCUGAACCAGCCAAGUGGAGGGAAGGAUGACUGUCUAUGGAUUGUAAACUACUUUUGUAGGAGAAUAUGUACCCUACGAAUAAGCAGCGGCUAACUCCGUGCCAGCCGCCGCGGUAAUUC